GGCAGGGAGCUGCAACCACCCCUGGGAGGGGCGAGACCAAGGGAGGAAGUGGUUUUACUGGAGCCCGGGAUCUGGAGCCGUUUGGUGGAAGUCCAUCUUCCUGGUCACAGUAAUUGGCCCUGAAAGUUUCGCUGAGCCCUUGGACAAAAGGGACCAUCUUCUUCUGAGCUGGCAAGGCCAUGAAGGCACCACCCGGACCAGGCCUGCCUGAGAAUGAAGCCAACAAGGGAGAAAGCUCAAUCAUGGGCAGCAACAGUGAGUUUUGACAACAUUGUUUCCAUGCCUGGAUACAGCUAUGCCUGAAGCCACCUUUCACCUAUUAUGGGUGCUAAUAAGUUCCCUCUUUUUGCAAGACCAAGUUGUGUUAGGAUUUCAGUCCACUUACUGGUGGAAGCCAUGAUAAAUGUCUGUGCCGUAGGCCCAAGUCCUGACCUCACAUGCUUUCUUGAUUCGAGGUUCCUUGAUGGGCAGCUCUGUAGGUCUGGUCCCCAGGACAAGAGGUCCCUCUGAAUAUCCUGUAGUAUGUGGUUUGCACAGAGAAAAGCAGAUCAGAAAUUGGUGGGUAGAGUUCCCUGGUGGCCUAGUGUUAAGGAUCAGCAUUGUCACUGCUGUGGCUGGGGUUCGAUCCCUGGCCCUAGACCUUCCGCACGCCCUGGGGAAGGCCAAGACAGAGAGAAAGAGAGAGGGAACUUGGUGGGAUACCACCUGGGGGGUUCACGUCAGGAGGGCGCACUUUUCCUGAUUCCAGGCUUGGUGACUUGCCCAAGGCCCCCAGGUGGUGGGCAGGAGAGCUGGGUCCCUUGGCUGCUUUGCCUGAAUCUGGGCCUCUGGUGAAGGCUGUGGGGGCAGGGCCUCCUUGUUAGGCCAGGAUGACAGACCUAUUCCCAUUUCUGAAGCAACCGCAGAGCUGAAAGAGCUCUGCCUGGGUGGGAGAGCGGAGCCCUGAGGCUCAGAGGCCUCUGUGGCCCUGCCUCUGCUGAGACAGGUCUGUCCCUCCCUGGUCGCCUAGGAGGGCCGUGGCAGGGCACGUGGUGAUCUGUGUUUCAAGGACAAAGCCAGAACGAAGCCUGGCAGCCCAGCGCCUCAUCAUCUCAGCACCACUCCAGCCCUCCGCGGGCACUUUACACUUUUAAAGCCUAUUUUAGCAGUAGCAGCUCAUCUGAUUCUCUUUAAUGCACUUGCAGGCAGCACAGAUAUGCAUCAGGGAAAGAACCCCCUGAACCAAGUGCUUCUGUGGGCCUGGUGAUCCCUCCCUCGGCGCCCGCUGCCAGGCCACAAGCCUCUGAUGAAUCAGCCUGAGCUCUUGAUGGCUGCACACGGAGGGGGCCCCUCUUGCAAAGGGAGGGGGAGCGUGUACAUUGCAGGUGACCGAGAGUCAGGGCCCAGCUGCGGGGAGGCGGCAGACCCUGGGCGGGGGCCCUGGAUGGCGGAUCGCGUCCAGAGCCCUGCCACCAGGUCACGUGAGGACGGGCCCUGGCUACCGCCCCUCUCGCGCUGCCCUCUAUACGGGGCAGACUUUAUCCUGCACGGAGGACUGGGCACCCGCCCGGUCCCAGAUGGACUGGCUCGCAGGGAGGUGGGGUGGGGAGGAACCGACAGAGGAGAGGGCGGCGCGGGGCGGGGGCGGGCUCCCCACAGGGGAGGAGGCGCAGCCAGACUAAUGAGGGCUGCGGAGCCACGCGGCGACUCCCGGAUCAAACACGAUCGCGCCGAGCUUGUUAAAACGCGUAAAUAAAGCCCUGUGAGCGCCUGUCCGGAAAAACGUGUCAGUCAGACAGACGGAUGACUGAGGGAAGACGUCUGAGGCUUCCGCCGUUUGCACAAAAUACAUGUUUUUGAUGGGGGGGGGGGGAGGCACCCAAAUCCCUGAUCUCACUGUUAAAGCCAGAGUCAGAGUUUUUCUUCAAAGCUGAAAAAUGUCCCUGGAAAGGAGCAUGAAGUCGCGGGUAAUGGAGAGACGUCAGUGAAGCGAAGGGGGCGCCCGGUCCUGCCAGCCAAGCGGGUAUCCCCAGCCCGUGCCCUGCUCGGGCAGGGCCGAGGGGGAUGGGGGUUCUGAAGCGCUCAGCUCAGAUCCGAUGUCCACUACGCCCAGGGUCUUUCUCGGCCGCCUUGUGUCAGCCCACUUCCGGGGGGGUGGGGCGUCCCCGUGAGUCUGGAAGGGGCGGAGCUGCUUGUCUGGGGGGGGGGGCCUCCAUCCCCACCCACCACCCCAGCACCCACAGAUGAGGACCCAAGGGGAAACCAGCAGGGGCGGCUCCAGGGUUUGGAGGCUUGGAGCUCAGACCGUCGGAGAUUCUCUUUGAGGAAAGGCCUACAUCAAUCCCACAUAUACUCAGGUAUGAAGGCAGAAGCCUCGCGUGAGAAAGGAAGUCACCACGAAGUCGCCGAGCCCUGGGAAUCCAGACCUCUUUCUUCUGCAGUGUCUUGAGAACUUUUGCGGCAUUGGGGGUAUCCCUUCAGGAAGCAGGAGAUGCCUGGGGGAAGUCUGGCGCUCCCUCAGUCGGUAAGCGAUUUCUUCAGAAUUCAGGGGCUGAGCGGUCCCCGGAGGAGCGCUGCUGCGGAUACAGUCUGCAAACAAGGACUGUUGCUGUGCGCGCCGCCGGCCUGGGGCGCGUGCGGGGAGAACGGGAGGGUCCCCACGCGAAGGAGGAAUGAUGCUGACAGCAGCGGCUCACCUCUGGGUAAUUUACAAACCGUGUUCACGCCACGUCUGAUUUGAUCCUGAUUAAAAAACCAAAGGCAAAAAAUUCAUGCUGGCUUUGUUCCUAUACUUGCUGUGAAGACUGAGAAGCUGAGGGCUGCCUCUUUGGAAGGAGGAGCUGUGACACGGAGGCGAGUUAGGCGACCGUGAACUUGGACAGGGCGUUGGGGUCCCCGGACUGGAACCACAGGACACGGAGGGAAGGGUGGUUGAGACCAGCGCAGCUGCCUCUGGGCUUCACGUGGAGGCCAAGCUCAGGACCUUGGCUGUGCCUAGGAGCGGCUGCGGGCCUGCCUGGGGGCCACCAGACCCCCGCGUGGCCAGAGGAUCUUCCCAGCCCCUGGGCUGAACUGCCCCAAAAAGGGCGUGCAUCGUUCUCCCGGUUUCCUUUAUUUGAAGAGGCCUGUUUAAUAACCCCAUCAAAGCUGUCAGCUGACCAGACCCAGACAGCAGCCUCUCAAGAAAACAGUAAACUAGAUGAAAGAUGACUUUCUCAUAUCCGGUUGACAUGCUUUAUGUGUGAUCACUCUUGUGACAACAGAAGGUAUAUAAAAAGGCUCAGUUAUAGUUUCUCGGCAAGAAUAAAAUAACUUAGGGGGACUGGUCCGCCCAGGAGCCUGCAGAUGAAUGUCUGGCUAUAAAAGGGGACUUGCCUCAUAUUUCAUGAAGUUGCAGCUCAGCUGCUUGGCAGGUGAGGCAGGAAAAGUGGGAUAAGAACGUCUUAUGAUGCGUCCAGAAGUGUCCAGUCCACGGUGUGAUCAACGUUCGGACUUGAAUGACGGGAACGAGCAUUACAAUUUUCUCCCUUUAAAUGUCCUUUGGGGGAGGUAGCAGUUUUAGGACUGAGGGUAAAAUCUGAUCAUUACCAGCUACCCCUGAAAUGGGAGGAAAUCCUUGUUCAGAUGAUAGCGUGUCGUGCUACCUGCAGGUGAGGGUUGGUUAUCUCUGUGUUACAAAUAGGGAAACGGAGGCUCUGAUAGGCACCAGGGAUUGUCUGAGGCCUCGGAAUAAACAAGAAACACAACUGGGAAUCAACCUAAGAUCUGGCUAACUUCCAAGCCUGUGCUCUGUGGUAACAUCAUAAUUUAAUUGUUUAAAACUGACUUGCUCUGGGAGUUCCCGUUGUGGCGCAGCAGAAACGAAUCCGACUAGG
This is a non-coding RNA of Sus scrofa (pig), 3854 nucleotides long. The record is from RefSeq and is a predicted model, not a curated record. Lineage: Eukaryota; Metazoa; Chordata; Mammalia; Artiodactyla; Suidae.